CUGUAAGCCGUUGAAGGUGAAUCGUAAGGUUUGCUGGAGGUAUCAGAAGUGCGAAUGCUGACAUGAGUAACGACAAAGGGGGUGAAAAACCUCCUCGCCGGAAGACCAAGGGUUCCUGUCCAACGUUAAUCGGGGCAGGGUGAGUCGACCCCUAAGGUGAGGCCGAAAGGCGUAAUCGAUGGGAAACGGGUUAAUAUUCCCGUACUUCUGACUAUUGCGAUGGGGGGACGGAGAAGGCUAGGUGGGCCAGGCGACGGUUGUCCUGGUUCAAGUGCGUAGGCUUGAGAGUUAGGUAAAUCCGGCUCUCUUUAAGGCUGAGACACGACGUCGAGCUGCUACGGCAGUGAAGUCAUUGAUGCCAUGCUUCCAGGAAAAGCCUCUAAGCUUCAGAUAGUCAGGAAUCGUACCCCAAACCGACACAGGUGGUCGGGUAGAGAAUACCAAGGCGCUUGAGAGAACUCGGGUGAAGGAACUAGGCAAAAUGGUACCGUAACUUCGGGAGAAGGUACGCUCUUGAUGGUGAAGUCCCUCGCGGAUGGAGCUGACGAGAGUCGCAGAUACCAGGUGGCUGCAACUGUUUAUUAAAAACACAGCACUGUGCAAAAUCGCAAGAUGACGUAUACGGUGUGACGCCUGCCCGGUGCCGGAAGGUUAAUUGAUGGGGUUAGCGCAAGCGAAGCUCUUGAUCGAAGCCCCGGUAAACGGCGGCCGUAACUAUAACGGUCCUAAGGUAGCGAAAUUCCUUGUCGGGUAAGUUCCGACCUGCACGAAUGGCGUAAUGAUGGCCACGCUGUCUCCACCCGAGACUCAGUGAAAUUGAAAUCGCUGUGAAGAUGCAGUGUACCCGCGGCUAGACGGAAAGACCCCGUGAACCUUUACUACAGCUUGGCACUGAACAUUGAACCUACAUGUGUAGGAUAGGUGGGAGGCUUUGAAGACGUGACGCCAGUUGCGUUGGAGCCGUCCUUGAAAUACCACCCUUGUAUGUUUGAUGUUCUAACUUAGACCCGUUAUCCGGGUUGAGGACAGUGCCUGGUGGGUAGUUUGACUGGGGCGGUCUCCUCCCAAAGAGUAACGGAGGAGCACGAAGGUGGGCUAAUCACGGUUGGACAUCGUGAGGUUAGUGCAAUGGCAUAAGCCCGCUUAACUGCGAGAAUGACGGUUCGAGCAGGUGCGAAAGCAGGUCAUAGUGAUCCGGUGGUUCUGUAUGGAAGGGCCAUCGCUCAACGGAUAAAAGGUACUCCGGGGAUAACAGGCUGAUACCGCCCAAGAGUUCAUAUCGACGGCGGUGUUUGGCACCUCGAUGUCGGCUCAUCACAUCCUGGGGCUGAAGUCGGUCCCAAGGGUAUGGCUGUUCGCCAUUUAAAGUGGUACGCGAGCUGGGUUUAGAACGUCGUGAGACAGUUCGGUCCCUAUCUGCCGUGGGCGUUGGAAGAUUGAAGGGGGCUGCUCCUAGUACGAGAGGACCGGAGUGGACGAACCUCUGGUGUUCGGGUUGUGUCGCCAGACGCAUUGCCCGGUAGCUAAGUUCGGAAUUGAUAAGCGCUGAAAGCAUCUAAGCGCGAAGCGAGCCCUGAGAUGAGUCUUCCCUGAUACUUUAAGUAUCCUAAAGGGUUGUUCGAGACUAGAACGUUGAUAGGCAGGGUGUGUAAGCGUUGUGAGGCGUUGAGCUAACCUGUACUAAUUGCCCGUGAGGCUUAACCAU
RNAcentral lists this ribosomal RNA (1705 nucleotides) under Vibrio cholerae. RNAcentral describes it as "partial 23S ribosomal RNA". It matches the Rfam family "Bacterial large subunit ribosomal RNA", at positions 1241 to 2925 of the family's 2925-position model. Lineage: Bacteria; Pseudomonadati; Pseudomonadota; Gammaproteobacteria; Vibrionales; Vibrionaceae. The record is from RNAcentral.